This 239-nucleotide ribosomal RNA is filed under the name Streptococcus sp. Its description in RNAcentral is "partial 16S ribosomal RNA". It matches the Rfam family "Bacterial small subunit ribosomal RNA", at positions 190 to 425 of the family's 1533-position model. Lineage: Bacteria; Bacillati; Bacillota; Bacilli; Lactobacillales; Streptococcaceae. The record is from RNAcentral.
UGUUAGAUGCUUGAAAGGAGCAAUUGCUUCACUAGUAGAUGGACCUGCGUUGUAUUAGCUAGUUGGUGAGGUAACGGCUCACCAAGGCGACGAUACAUAGCCGACCUGAGAGGGUGAUCGGCCACACUGGGACUGAGACACGGCCCAGACUCCUACGGGAGGCAGCAGUAGGGAAUCUUCGGCAAUGGGGGCAACCCUGACCGAGCAACGCCGCGUGAGUGAAGAAGGUUUUCGGAUCG